GCUAAGAACUAUCUUAAUCUUGAAUCACACCAUUUGUUUGUGAAAAUAUGUCUGUUGUUGGAGGAAGUCAAUAUGAGUCCAGCAGAUGUUGCAGAGAGUUUAAUGCCCAAGGCUGCUCUUGGGGACACAGGAACUUGCUUGGAGAGUCUGAUUGGAGCUCUUGAGAUGGCAAAAGAAGAAGCCAGGCUGAAAACUGAGGAAGAAGAAAAUAUCAAAAGAUCAUUGGUGGAAAAAGAAAUAAAAGAGAAAGAGAAGGAAUUGUCUGCUGAUGAAGUAGAACAAAGAAUCAAUCAACGUUAGAGGCAGAUGAUAACAGUUCAUCAGUCAAGGAAGCUUUAAUAUGAAAAUAAACCAUUAGUGAUCCAUCUGCUACUAUUGCAAGACUAAGAAGUGGACAAGAUUGGGAAAGAUUUUGUAACUUUGUAGAGAGAUUAUCUAUUUUUCUUGAAGAAAUUUAACAUUAUUGAUUUGCACUAGUGUGACUUUAUCUUGAAUGGUUUCUUAGAAUAUAUAUAUAUAUAUAUAUAUAUAUAUCCCAAUUCUCUUAGCGUACAGCCAGCAUCUAGAUUGAGCACCUAAACACCUGGUAUUGGGAUUUGGGAGUGUAGUUUUAAAAGGGUAAUGUUUAAAGUGGGCUCUUUCUGAAACUCACUUCACCUUAUAAUGUCCACUUCAACAUGUGAGCUCUCAUACCAUACAGUUUGUCUAUAUUGCCUAACAUAUUAACAAUGCUUCACUAAUUAAGUGAGUAAUACAGACAUAAAAAUUGAGCCAAACUCAUGGAUUACCCUUGCUAAUUUAGAUGUCAUGCAUAGCUUUCUUUAAGGCUGUCUUCGCACUUCA
This 843-nucleotide long non-coding RNA is filed under the name Panax ginseng (ginseng). Its description in RNAcentral is "long non-coding RNA (PGIN_LNC003242)". Lineage: Eukaryota; Viridiplantae; Streptophyta; Magnoliopsida; Apiales; Araliaceae. The record is from RNAcentral.